GCAGGGAAUAUUGCGCAAUGGGGGAAACCCUGACGCAGCGACGCCGCGUGAGUGAUGAAGGCCUUCGGGUCGUAAAGCUCUGUUGCAGGGGAAUAAAAAAAUGAAGGUACCCUGUGAGGAAGGAUCGGCUAACUUCGUGCCAGCAGCCGCGGUAAGACGAGGGAUCCUAGCGUUGCUCGGAAUCAUUGGGCGUAAAGAGGGCGUAGGUGGCUUGGUAAGUCAGGUGUGAAAGCCCAGGGCUCAACCCUGGAAGUGCAUUUGAUACUGCUGAGCUUGAGUGUCGGAGAGGUUACCGGAAUACCUGGUGUAGUGGUGAAAUACGUAGAUAUCAGGUGGAACACCGGAGGCGAAGGCGGGUAACUGGACGAACACUGACACUGAGGCCCGAAAGCGUGGGGAUCAAACAGGAUUAGAUACCCUUGUAGUCC
Molecule: ribosomal RNA, 428 nt
Filed under: uncultured bacterium
Lineage: Bacteria
Description: partial 16S ribosomal RNA
Rfam family: Bacterial small subunit ribosomal RNA
Source: RNAcentral